RNAcentral lists this ribosomal RNA (276 nucleotides) under uncultured bacterium. Its description in RNAcentral is "partial 16S ribosomal RNA". It matches the Rfam family "Bacterial small subunit ribosomal RNA", at positions 29 to 334 of the family's 1533-position model. The record is from RNAcentral.
AACGAACGCUGGCGGCAGGCCUAACACAUGCAAGUCAAGGGGCCCUUCGGGGCACCGGCGCACGGGUGCGUAACGCGUGGGAAUAUACCUUUAGGUGCGGAAUAAUAUUUGGAAACGAAUACUAAUACCGCAUAAUGACUCCGGUCCAAAGAUUUAUCGCCUAGGGAUUAGCCCGCGUCUGAUUAGUUUGUUGGUGAGGUAACGGCUCACCAAGACGAUGAUCAGUAGCUGGUCUGAGAGGACGACCAGCCACACUGGAACUGAGACACGGUCCAG